GGUGCGGCGCUAAAAAGGCAAAAAAAAAAAAAAGAACUUCCAAACAUUUGCAUGGAAACUCAAAGGACCCUCAAAUAGCCAAAAAAAUCUUAAGAAAGAAGAACAGAGCUGGAUGUAUCACACAUUCGGAUCUAAUAAUGUGUGUGUGUGUGUGUGUGUGUGUGUGUGUAUUUUUUUUUUUUCUUUUUAGGGUCACACCCACAGCAUAUGGAGGUUCCCAGGCUAGGGGUUUAGUGGGAGCUACAACUGCCAGCAACACCACAGCCACAGCAACACCAGAUCCAAGCCACACCUGCGACCUACACCACAGCUCAUGGCAACGCUGGAUCCUUAACCCAUUGAGCGAGGCCAGGGAUUGAACCCGCCACCUCGUGGUUCUUAGUCAGAUUUGUUUCCACUGAGCCAUGAUGGGAGCUCCAUGAUCUAAUAAUAUAUUAUAAAGCGGCAGUAACUAAGCAGUUAUUAAACAGUGCGGUACUGACAUAAAGCAGACAUAGACAUCAAUGGAACAGAAUAAAGACCCAGAAAUAAGCCCUCAUGUAUAUGGUCAAAUGACCUUCAACAAGGGUGCCAAGACUACCCAGUGAAGGAAGGACAGUCUCUUCAACAAACGGUGUUAGAGGAGUUCCCACUGUGGCAAAAUGGAAUCUGCGACAUCUCUGCAAUGCUGUGACUCAGGUUCAAUCCCCAGCCUGGGACAGUGGGUUAAGGAUCCCCUGAUGUCCUCAAAGUUUGUCCAUGUAGCACAUUGCAGAUGUUCCUUCUUUUUUAAGGCUGCGUAAUAUUCCACUGUGUGUAUAGACCACAGUUUGCUCAGCCAUUCAUCCAUCAGUGAACACGGGUUGCUUCUGUGUUUGAGCUCCUGUGAAAAAUGCUUUUGCGACCAUGGGGUCCCUUGAAGAUCCUGCUUUCGAUUCUUUUUAGUCUAGACCCAGAAAUGUAAUUGCUGGGUCAUAAGAUAAUUCUGUUUUUACCUUUUUCAAGACCUGUCCUCAUUCCUUUUAUGGUUCCAAAGCACUCGUUAUGUGGCUGUCUCUUGUUUAUUCUGCUGGGCCUUACUGAUGGCCAUUUGGCUUUCUUUUCAGGCUUAGACUAUUCCAAACAGAGCUGCAGCAAAUAGCCUUGUCCCUGCAUUUUUUGUUUUUUGGGUUUUUUUUUCCUUUUGUUUUGUUUUUUGGUAUUCUUUGCAGUGAAUCUUUGAGAGAUUCCUAGAGGUGGGAAUACAGGCUCAAAGGGCAAAUAUGCAUGUAGUUUGCUAGGCAUUGCCAAAUUCCCUUCCACAGGGAUGGUACCAAUUCGUGUUCCCAUCAGCAAAGUGUGAGAGUGUCUGUUUGCUCACAGCCUGAACAAGAGAGUAUUUUGUUAAAUACUUGGACUUUUGCCAAGCUGUACUGGAAGAAAUAGUUCCUUGAGGCAAUUUGCAUUUUGUUAACUGCAAACAGAGUUGAGCGUCUUUUCAUAUAGUUUUGAAAUACUGACCUUUCUUUUUCGAUAAACUGUUCGUAUUUUUAGUGCAUUUUUUCUCACAAAUUCUUGGCCUUUUAAUUUAUAUUAGAAUCACUUUAUAUUCUAAGAAUAUUAAGUCUGUUGUGAUAAAUUGUGAAUCUUAUUUUGUAACCAGUCUUUCAUUUGUCUUUUUAAAUUUUAUUUAUCAUUUUUGUUUUUGUUUUUUUGGCCAAGGAGACAUCGCCUGGUGCCUAAAUGAAUCUCUCUCCCCCUCCAUGUAAUGAUCAUGAUAUUUCCACAGAGAAAACAAGCCUACGGAAUCAGAUCUCACAGUCCUGAUGUCUGGAGUUAAUUCAGGGGUGUCAGCCAGAGGGACCAGAGAGCGACACAGGGGCUCUAGGGCCCUAAGCCCUGGCCAAAAGGACUGUUUUGAUUUGUAAGUUUUCAAUAGGUUUGUGUGUCCAAAGAGAAGGAAGUUGAUGCCUUUGCACCCGGACGGGAAGCGUCAUCAUCCGCAUCCUUGGCACCUGGAAGUCCAAGGUCAGUACAGGGCGUGAUCCGCACGUCCGACUUCACAUGGCACUCAAAUGAGAACACAAGGCUGUGUUCUGUCCUGAAAGCUUUGGGUCACUAACCCAGCUGUCUGGAAGAGGAGAAGACACCAUAGCAGAGAGCUCUGCUUUGUCAAAAUGCCACUCGGUGUAAACCUGAAUAAACUUCAUGCCGAUAGGAGUUCCCAUUGCGGCUCAGGGCGUUAAGAACCCAUCUGGUAUCCAUGAGAAUGUAGGUUCAAUCCCUGGCCUCACUCAGUGGGGUAAGGAUCCGACGAUGGUAUAAGCUGCAGCUAGGUCACAGACGCGGCUUGGAUCUGGCAUUGCCGUGGCUGUGGUGUAGACCAGCAGCUACAUCUCCGAUUCGAUCCCUAGCCUGGGAACUUCCACAUGCUGCAGGUGCGGC
This 2403-nucleotide long non-coding RNA is filed under the name Sus scrofa (pig). RNAcentral describes it as "lncRNA (ENSSSCG00040074806.1)". The record is from RNAcentral. Lineage: Eukaryota; Metazoa; Chordata; Mammalia; Artiodactyla; Suidae.